CUCUGAGCGGGUCAAAUGGGGACUAGAAAAAUUCCACCCACUAGCUCAGCUAAUGGGUAAAAAUGCUGGACAUUUAUCUGGAGCUGCAGGGGGUAAAGUGUCACCCUUGGGAAAUUCAAAGCUGGCCUGUACCUGUUGAGAGCACCAGGGAUAUGGUCACAUUGCCUGUUGCCAGCACCCCAGGCAGAGUCAUCAACAAUUACUUUGGAGGAGGGCCACUUCUACCUUCCAGGGCAUAGGUGACCCUGUGGAAAACAAGUCCCCCUGGAACAUCCUAGAAGGGGAGGCAGACCAUAAACUAGCCACUGGAAUGAGAAUGCAGUAAAACAGCUUGCCUCAGAGUGGUCUUCCCUGCAACACACAACUUCUCUUAGGCAUUCAUGAUUCUGACGGGCCAGUCAUCCCUUCAUUGACUUUGUCCAGGAGCUCCACCAUUACAGUCUCAUUUUAGAAAAUAAAGACACUUGGAAACAAA
This 475-nucleotide long non-coding RNA is filed under the name Pongo abelii (Sumatran orangutan). Its description in RNAcentral is "lincRNA". The record is from RNAcentral. Lineage: Eukaryota; Metazoa; Chordata; Mammalia; Primates; Hominidae.